Molecule: ribosomal RNA, 319 nt
Filed under: uncultured bacterium
Lineage: Bacteria
Description: bacterial SSU rRNA
Rfam family: Bacterial small subunit ribosomal RNA
Source: RNAcentral
UAAUCAUCAUGCCCCUUAUGUCUUGGGCUUCACGCAUGCUACAAUGGCCGGUACAGUGGGCUGCGAUACCGUAAGGUGGAGCGAAUCCCAAAAAGCCGGUCCCAGUUCGGAUUGAGGUCUGCAACUCGACCUCAUGAAGUCGGAGUCGCUAGUAAUCGCAGAUCAGCAACGCUGCGGUGAAUACGUUCCCGGGUCUUGUACACACCGCCCGUCAAGUCAUGAAAGUCGGUAACACCUGAAGCCGGUGGCCUAACCCCUUGUGGGAGGGAGCUGUCGAAGGUGGGAUCGGUAAUUAGGACUAAGUCGUAACAAGGUAGCA